CCCACCGUGCCCAUAAUCAGUACAGGUUGUGAGAGCAAGAACCUGGAGACGGAAUCUGAGACAAGAUUCCGGGCCCUACGGGGCGCAGCAGGCGCGAAACCUUUACACUGCACGCACGUGCGAUAAGGGGACUCCGAGUGCGAGGGCAUAUCGUCCUCGCUUUCGUGUACCGUAGGGUGGUACACCAACAAGGGCUGGGCAAGACCGGUGCCAGCCGCCGCGGUAAUACCGGCAGCCCGAGUGAUGACCGAUCUUAUUGGGCCUAAAGCGUCCGUAGCUGGCUGCGCAAGUCCGUCGGGAAAUCCACUCGCCCAACGAGUGGGCGUCCGACGGAAACUGCACAGCUUGGGACCGGAAGGCUCGAAGGGUACGUUCGGGGUAGGAGUGAAAUCCCAUAAUCCCGCACGGACCACCGAUGGCGAAAGCACUUCGAGAAAACGGAUCCGACAGUGAGGGACGAAAGCCAGGGUCUCCAACCGGAUUAGAUACCCGGGUAGUCCUGGCCGUAAACAAUGUUCGCUAGGUAUGACACAGACUACGCGUCUCUGUUGUGCCGUAGGGAAGCCGAGAAGCGAACCGCCUGGGAAGUACGUCUGCAAGGAUGAAACUUAAAGGAAUUGGCGGGGGAGCACUACAACCGGAGGAGCCUGCGGUUUAAUUGGAUUCAACGCCGGG
RNAcentral lists this ribosomal RNA (675 nucleotides) under uncultured archaeon. RNAcentral's name for it is "bacterial SSU rRNA". It matches the Rfam family "Archaeal small subunit ribosomal RNA", at positions 248 to 922 of the family's 1478-position model. The record is from RNAcentral.